ACUACCACUUGCUAUAUUAUCUCAUGAGAUGAGUGCUCUAAAAAAAGAAGAAAUAUGACGAAAUAAAAAGGGGCAAGUGCCCGGAACCUCGAAAGAACAGAAAAAGUGAGACGAGAGGUAAAAAUGGACAAGUGUCCGACAAUAGAAUUAGGGGUACAAGAUACCCACCUGAGAUUAAAGAAAAAGAAAAUACAGGGCAUCUCAUUCUCCUCAAAGUUUCAAAAGAUCAAGAAAAGUAUGUAUCCCCUCAGAAGAGCACAAGUAGAAUUAGACUUUAACCAUUGUUAUCACCAUCAUCACCAUACUCCAUUCAUUCGCCAC
This 321-nucleotide long non-coding RNA is filed under the name Sorghum bicolor (sorghum). RNAcentral describes it as "long non-coding RNA (SBIC_LNC013741)". The record is from RNAcentral. Lineage: Eukaryota; Viridiplantae; Streptophyta; Magnoliopsida; Poales; Poaceae.